This 460-nucleotide ribosomal RNA is filed under the name uncultured bacterium. RNAcentral describes it as "partial 16S ribosomal RNA". It matches the Rfam family "Bacterial small subunit ribosomal RNA", at positions 338 to 795 of the family's 1533-position model. The record is from RNAcentral.
CCUACGGGUGGCAGCAGUGAGGAAUAUUGGUCAAUGGGCGCUAGCCUGAACCAGCCAAGUCGCGUGAAGGAUGACUGCCCUAUGCGUUGUAAACUUCUUUUAUCUGGGAAUAAAGUGCAGUAUGUAUGCUGCUUUGCAUGUACCUUAUGAAUAAGCAUCGGCUAACUCCGUGCCAGCAGCCGCGGUAAUACGGAGGAUCCGAGCGUUAUCCGGAUUUAUUGGGUUUAAAGGGAGCGUAGGCGGGUUGUUACGUCAGUGGUGAAAGUUUGGGGCUCAACCGUAAGAGUGCAGUUGAUACUGGCAGCGUAGAGAACAGGAGAGGUACGCGGAAUGCGCGGUGUAGCGGUGAAAUGCUUAGAUAUCGCGAAGAACUCCGAUUGCGAAGGCAGCCUGCGGGAGUGUAACUGACGCUGAUGCUCAAAAGUGUGGGUAUCAAACAGGAUUAGAUACCCUAGUAGUC